UAUGGCCAUAACAUGUUGAAACAUUGGUUCCCAUAUGAUCACUGAAGUUAAACAAUGUCAAGUGUAGUCAGCACCUGGAUAGGUGAUUGCUUGGGAAUACCAGGUGCUGUAAG
This is a non-coding RNA of Acanthosepion pharaonis, 113 nucleotides long. NCBI's taxonomy places the organism in Eukaryota, Metazoa, Mollusca, Cephalopoda, Sepiida, Sepiidae. The record is from the annotation of a GenBank genome assembly.